Pongo pygmaeus (Bornean orangutan) is the source of this 3440-nucleotide long non-coding RNA. RefSeq lists it as uncharacterized. The record is from RefSeq and is a predicted model, not a curated record. NCBI's taxonomy places the organism in Eukaryota, Metazoa, Chordata, Mammalia, Primates, Hominidae. The transcript has 8 exons.
ACAGCUCCGGUUGCGGAGAGGCCCGAGUGGGUACCCAGCGCUCCGGCUCCCAGUCUCCUGGGCUUCUCCAGCCCUUCAGCGCCGUUCUCUGGUCACAGGGAAUGAAAGCGAGAAGAAGGAAACUGUGUCGAGAAUUGCGAAGAGAGAAAGCAUAGAAAACCCACAUUAGAGGCACACCCAGAGCAGCAACCCUUCGGAGCAUCCCGACUUCCUCGGCCCGCGUGCAAUCCAGGCAAAAUUGAGAUUGUCUCUGAGCCGCCCUCCCUAAGCAGGUCGGAAAGCCCCGAAUCAUCCCAGAUCCCGCCGCGCUCCACUCGUGACCUGGGGCGGAGGUCCCUCUAGUGGUUGGCACCAAACAAAAGUUCUGUCUUAUGAAGAGCUGAGGUCAGGAAGCAUUUCCCUGUGCCCAGCACCAAGGUCUGGGACCUUAGGUCCAAGAAAAGCGUUGGCAAUGUCUGACCACAGGAAUGGGUUCUCGAACUGGGGAGGACUGAACCCCUACCUCCAGCGUGUGGCCUGAACCGGUUUUGGUUGUGCUGCUAUGUUGUGGCCCUGCCCAGGCCUCCAAGGACUGGCUGCUGUUAAGCUGUUUAAAAUCCCUGUAGGCCUCAGAUGGCAGCGACACCAGGGACUCGGCAUAGUCCCCACCUCUGGCAGGAGUCACCACAGCCCUGGCCUUUAGUUCUCCACAGGCUGGAGUGUCGACAAACUCCAUAGGACACAACUUUUUCAAACCAAAUUUACCCUCGCGGUCUGAAAUGACCAGUAGGCCCAGGAGACUUUUACAUGUGAACAGAACCUAACCCACCCUGGCAAAUAUGAGACGUGUGGUCACUGCGGGAACCUGGCCAGCAGCAGACCAAGCACAGCCAGCAGGGGAAGGCUGGGGCCCGCAAGAGUUGUGUUACAACAGGACACCCUGCAGUUCUCUUUCACUUCCUUAAAAUAGCAGCAGAGAGGCUUUUGUAGACCCAGGCUGCCACAGUUCACACAAGUUCAUGGCUGUUUCCAAAUCCCACACUUUAUUGCCCUAGUGGACCCACUCCCCUUACCUCAGCCCCCAGAAACUGCUAGCCUGUUCUUAAAAUGAUACAAUUACCUUUUUAAAUGUUCUAAGUCACCGGCUCUGGAGUUUCUUUGCACUUUGGAACCAACUUGCGGGAAGGAACUUUAAAAAUACUGAUGUCUCCAUCCAUCCCCAGAGGUUCUGAUUUAAUGGUCUUGGGGGUAUGGCCACGGCAUGAGGACUCUUAAAACUCUGCAGGUGAUUCUUAUGUGCAACAAAGUUUAAGAACCACUGAUGUAGGCCAUGUCGAUGUCAGUCUUCACUUAAAUCCAACAAGACCCCAGAGCUAAAACGUUCACCUGAAAGAAACUCCAUUCCCAGGCCUGCAUACUGACCUGCCCUGGCUCACAAGAAGCAAAGUGGUCCCUUAACAGGGGCUUCCUGGAGAAAAUGUCUUGACCUAAAAGAGUGAUUCGAGCUGCAGGGAUUUAAGAGAGACAGGGCCUUGCUCUAUCACCCAGGCUGAAAUGCAACGUUGCAAUCAUGGCUUGCUGUAGCCUCAAGCUCCUGGACUCAGGGCUCAGUGUGGUCAAAAGAAGACUAUAGAAUCAAGGAUGAAGAGAAGGAACACAAAAUAAAAGGACGUCUCAGCAGGAAGCUCUGUGACUACUAUACAGUUCUUACAAUACAGCAAAUGAUGCCAUACAAUGAAGCACCUUGAAAGAUUGCUGGGAUAAGCUGACAGCAUGGCAGCCAAAAUAGUGACUCCAGGCUUGCAGGAAUUUUGUGCUUUCUGGAGAAAAUGGUCAUGGGUUUCCCAACCUGCCUUUUAAACUAAGGACCAAGCUGAAGAAGCCCCUGUUUUCCAGGGCAUGUUAUUCCCAUGACAGAUGCUAAAAGUUCAAAGGGAGAGCUACAAGAAGUACAUUUUCCUGUGGAUACUUUCAUAUCUGGAUGCAAUGCCUAGACCUGCAUCCAUCUUGCGACCAACCUGAAGAUGAAUCGAAAGGAAGGAAGGAUGGCCCAAUACCCUGGGAAGAACUGGUGUUCCUGAUCCCAUCAUUAACCACAGAAUCUACAAUCCCUGAACCCCCCAUCCUUAACCAUGGAAUCUACAAUCCUAGCUCUAGACCCUUUGUCCAGAAGCUACAGUUUCUUUGUUCAAUCUAGUUUGUGUCAGGAUUUCUGUUCAUUACAUCAAAAGUAUUCUAAUACUUGUAGCAAAGCAACUGGAGAAGUUUUCACUUCGUCUUUAACCAAAGAAGACUUCCAGGAAACAUCUCCUCAGUGGGUUUCUCCCUCACCACUGGAUUUUUGUCUCUGUACUAGUGCUUUGAUUUGUUUUAGGAGUCUCACCUCUCCACCUGUCAUAUUCCCCUGGCAGGCUCAUUUCUGCUAAUUCCCACAAUAUGCUUCUCAAUGAGCUUUCAACCUUAGGUACACAGCUCUUCAGGCAUGUAUAGCACAUUAAUCUGUCUGCUUCUAAGUGGUCUGUUGACAUGUUUGGGUGCCAGUUAUACCUACAAGGCUGUGGUCAUUGUCCUGGCUUAUUCUGUUUGUUCUCUCUGCAAGAUACAUGAGGACACCCAAGGCCAUGGCCAUCACUUACAUCUAAGAUUCAAUCUUAUCUCCUGUGAAUCACUGGAAACCUCCUGUCCUGGAACCCUUUUUUCCCACAUCCCACUGGAUGUCAUUCAUAGCAACUGGUCUUGUGAGUUGUCUGUUUUAUUGUGUUGUCUUACUCUUCCUCCCGGUAUCAGUUUUUAAAUCCUCUUGAUGAGAUCAGCUGAUCAAUCGCUAAGAAACAUAGUCCCCCAUGUCUUUGUAAGAUUCUCUGCACUCAUGGCUAGAAUGAUUUAUUCUCGUAUCUUAAGCUGUGUUUCAGAACCUCAUUCUAAAUAUCAACCUAUUCUUAUAAAUCCACUACUGAUCAUCUUUAGAUAUUCUUCAGUCUUCCAGAGUUCCAAAGGGCAGUAGGAAGAAGCAAUGAAAAUACCACCUGUAUUCUCACAUCUUUGAUUUUUCCACUCAAAAAAUACCACCAUGUUCACUCCUGGCGGAACGUUUAUGUCCAUGAGAAGCAGUGGCUGUGAAGAGUUUUGGCAGACUCUUUAUUGCGCCUUACUCAACACUGGGAAGGUCUCAUCUUCAGCACUUCUAAACUGUGGGAAACUAUGUGAAAACAAAUGGAGUGGCCAAACACACCAUUCAUCACUGUGCUUCUGGACAGCUGCAAGUCCAUACAUGUUCCGAUAAUUCAAUACAAGAAAGAAGAUUUGCUUGGGAAGGUCUGAAUGGCCCUAGCUUUGUUUGUUAACCAUAACCUCUACCAGCUGGAAACACAAUGCCCCACUAAUACUGACAGUGCCUGCUUGUCCAAACAGCAUUCUGGCCACUUACAGCAAUUGACACAAAUUCUAACAGGUCUGUUAAU